This 1226-nucleotide ribosomal RNA is filed under the name metagenome. RNAcentral describes it as "SSU rRNA". It matches the Rfam family "Eukaryotic small subunit ribosomal RNA", at positions 1 to 1250 of the family's 1831-position model. The record is from RNAcentral.
UCUGGUUGAUCCUGCCAGUAGUCAUAUGCUUGUCUCAAAGAUUAAGCCAUGCAUGUCUAAGUAUAAAUGUUAUACAGUGAAACUGCGAAUGGCUCAUUAAAACAGUUAUAGUUUAUUUGAUAAUCGAAUUUUACAUGGAUAACCGUGGUAAUUCUAGAGCUAAUACAUGCUGUUUGGCCUGACUUUUUGGAAGGGCUGUAUUUAUUAGAUAACAGACCAAUAUUCCUCGUGUCUAUUGAGUUGACUCAUAGUAACUGAUCGAAUCGCAUGGGCUUUGCCCGCGAUAAAUCAUUCAAGUUUCUGCCCCAUCAGCUUUCGAUGGUAGUGUAUUGGACUACCAUGGCUCUAACGGGUAACGGAGGAUUAGGGUUCGAUUCCGGAGAGGGAGCCUGAGAAACGGCUACCACAUCUAUGGAAGGCAGCAGGCGCGUAAAUUACCCAAUCCUAAUUCAGGGAGGUAGUGACAAGAAAUAACGGACCGAAGCUUUUGUUUCGGGAUUGCAAUGAGUUGAAUUUAAACCCCUUAAUGAGGAUCAAUCGGAGGGCAAGUCUGGUGCCAGCAGCCGCGGUAAUUCCAGCUCCAAUAGCAUAUAUUAAAGUUGUUGCAGUUAAAAAGCUCGUAGUUGGAUUUCUGGGAGGGAUCUGAUGCCCGCUUGUUGGCGUGUGCUGAGGUUCCCUCCCAUCCUUCUGUUAACGUUUCUUGGUAUUCAUUUACUGGUUUCGGGCUCAGAUAUUUUACCUUGAGAAAAUUAGAGUGUUUCAGGCAGGCUUGCGCCGGAAUACAUUAGCAUGGAAUAAUAGAAUAGGACGUUUCGCUCCUUUGUUGGUUUGAGGGCUUAGCGUAAUGAUUAAUAGGGGUAGUUGGGGGCAUUAGUAUUUAAUUGUCAGCGGUGAAAUUCUCGGAUUUGUUAAAGACUAACUUAUGCGAAAGCAUUUGCCAAGGAUGUUUUCAUUAAUCAAGAACGAAAGUUAGGGGAUCAAAGACGAUCAGAUACCGUCCUAGUCUUAACCAUAAACUAUGCCGACUAGGGAUCGGAGGUGAGUUUUAUCCGCCUUCGGCACCUUAUGAGAAAUCAAAGUCUUUGGGUUCUGGGGGGAGUAUGGUCGCAAGGCUGAAACUUAAAGGAAUUGACGGAAGGGCACCACCAGGAGUGGAGCUUGCGGCUCAAUUUGACCCAACACGGGAAAACUUACCAGGUCCAGACAUAGUGAGGAUUGACAGAUUG